This is a long non-coding RNA of Grus americana (Whooping crane), 3980 nucleotides long. RefSeq lists it as uncharacterized. The record is from RefSeq and is a predicted model, not a curated record. The transcript has 5 exons. Lineage: Eukaryota; Metazoa; Chordata; Aves; Gruiformes; Gruidae.
GGGGGGAAGCCGGUGUGCGGGCCCCGCGGUGCUGUAGGAGCUGCGGGGGUGGCUUGUGAGGAAGGGCGAGUACGGGUAAAACAGGGCUUGUGUGCCUGGUGGUCUCCUCACGGUGGUUCAGCCCACCGUUCCGUUCCAGAGGGCUGGCGGCUCCGGCCCUCCUUCGGGCCGCCGCUUUGCCGCCGCUGAGGUCAGAGAAAAUUCAGAGCAGAGCAGACCUUGUUCGUUGUGCUGGUUCCCGGGAACCCGGCUGGUUGGUUGGCUGCUGCGUUGAGCUGGCUGGUGUGUGCAAAUGCCCGCUUCCUGGCAGACGUUCAGAUCUGGUAAGAUUUUUGUGGUUGGUACCCAGAGGGGAAGACACAAGUGUUUUGAACCCAUAAGGACUUCAAUUUUAUUUUGGAAACAUGAGGGCUGAAUGCUACAAAAGCUGAGAGAGAGUCCUUUACGGGCACAAAUUGCACACAUGAUUUGAAAACCCAGUACCUUUUCCUUUCAAUACAUGGCUGUCAAGGUAUCAGUCUUACAUUGACAGGAUUUUUAUCUUCCUCAAACUUGCUCCUAUGUACACCAGGAUAUGCCAUUGUACAGUAUGAAUAUCACAUAUUUAAAUCAUCGAUCAGUUUUUUUUUUUUUUGGUGGAUAUUCAUCAAGACAAUAUCGUUUCCAAGUCUUACAUCAAGGGAAACGAUAAUCCUCCUCCAUUCUUUGUGAUUUUUGAGAUGGUGCUUCAUGUAGAACUGUAGAAGGAAAAUGUACCCUGGACAGCUUUCCAUUCCAGUGAUUUCAUUAAUGAUCAAAUGUUUUUAAGUGGCACGCAGUACCUUGAAGGAUUGCAGCCAAUCUAUAGUUCCCGGUAGGUCAGUCCUAAGGAUUGAACCUAGUAUAUAAUGUACGAUUAACCUCUGUUGUCAUCAAAACAUACAAUGGCAGUUCAGAACUCAUUGGCAUUGGUUUUAGUUUUAGAUGAACAGAGAGCCUGCAUCACAAUUAUAUAAGCUGUCUUCUUUUAUCCCUAGUUUUAUUAUAUUUAUAUUUCAUGUAAUUUGUUCCAACUGUGAAUGUUUCAGAUACUGAAAGAGUUACUGCCCUUACAGCAUUUUAUUGUAUAGGGUUCAAAGUGGCAACGAUGAGAAAUGAACCAGACUGUCUUCACGUGGCUUUGAAAUGCUGUAUUGCAAAAUAGAGCGCUGCACCCUGUGUCUGCAUAAAACAUGGUCUCAAUUAAACUUCUACUAAAACAGUUUCAUCUGUUUAAAAGUAUGCUUAUUUUUGACUACACAUAUAAUUUAGGGUUUUUUUAAGUUUCACUAAAAAAACACUGGUCCAUGGAAAAUAAGAUGACUUACAUUACUAGAAAUCAGUAACCCUAUUUAAUUACUACAAAAUACUGGUUUAAGGCUACCGUUGAGAUCAAGUUACUUCAACUUGGUUUCUAAGGAAACUAAAAUCUACACACUGAUAACCAUACAUCAAUAAAAAAGAAAAAAAAAACCAAACCCAAAACACCUUAGUAUCUCUCCUUAGUGGGCUUAUAUAGAGAGCAGUUUCAAAAUAGUAUUUUAUUAUAACUCAAAUUAAAAAAUACAUUAGGUCAUUCUGUUCACAUUUUGCCAUAUAAAAAGUGAACAUAAGCUGUUAAAAAAAAAAAAGACUUAAGAUAAUCUCCACAGACUCAUUCCUUUACACAAUUAUUUUCAUUAGGUAAUCUUUUUACACUGGGAAAGGAUUCUUUAGCUGGGAAACACUUUAUAAAGGAUCAAACAUUUUGUUUGUAUACCACAUAUAGCCUGGAUAUUUGAAAACUUCCUGUCCUUAAUUGCCUAUGCAAAAUGAUUCAUGGUGCAAAUUGGUAUUCACAAGUUAUUAUGAGCAUUAAUUUAUAUUUUUUCCUUUGUACAGGCAUCUAAAGAUUAGAUUUAUAGGCAGUGCUGAAAUGCAUUUUAUUUUGUUUUGAAAUCAAGAUUGCGACAUCCUUUAAAUUAUAUUCACAUUCUGUGUGGAUUUCAAACUAUUGUCAUUGUGAUGAUGGUUUGGGUGUUUUGUGGGAGGGUGGUUGUAUCUCGGAGUAUUGGUUUGGUUAAAUACAAUACAUGGACAAAAGACAAAGUAAAUUUUAAGGAGUUUUAUGAAAACCAGUAUUUUUCCCAAGCGUUAAAAACAGCAUAUGAAAAUCUAUAGGGUUAAGUUCUUAUGUGGGGCUUUUUAAACCUAUUUUUAAUGGAAAGAAAUUGGAGCAGAAUACAAAAAAACAGCGAUUUUCUCCUUGAAAAUGGUUUUGAUACUGUCAAACUUUUCAUUAGAAGAUGAAAAUGUAAUUUUCUUCAACAGCUGUGUUUGGAUUAAAGUCUGAAAUUUCAAUUUUGUCAAGAAGGAAAUUUUUUGUGAGGAGAAAAGAAAAAAAACCCAACAUUUUGACUGACUAUAAUAUAUAAUAUAUGCAGGAUAUAUAUAUAGGUACACAUGCAGGAAUACAGAGCCAGCAUCUCCGCUGGUGUAAAACAUCUAAGUGUCUCUGAAGUCACAACUUGCCUAACUAAGAUCAGCUGUGAAUCUCACCUAAGAAAUUUUUGCUUAUCUCAUAUUCACCUCUCUGUGGAAUGCUGGAGCCGGUUUCUGAAUGACGUGAUUCUGAUAUAAAAGGCAUAAAUAUAGUAGUGCCAGGAACUACAGAGUUAACCUUCUGAACGCCGGAACGCGUCAGUGGCAAGAAACAGAGGUAUGACUGUAACAUUACUUACAGUCUUGAAAUACUGUUGAAGGAAAAGUCAAGCUUGUCUGUAAGAAGGCUACUAAAAUUCUUUUCAGGUCUUCAGAAAAAUUGUGUUUGCAAUGUAAUUCCUUAAGACUACUUAAGACUAAGACCACUUCAAAUUAUAAUGAAUUUUUCUGGUUUCAGGGUAGAGCCUUCAAUGUCCUGGUUACUGACCAACGUGGUACUUUGACUUGAUCAAGUAAGCAAUUCCAGAGUUUGCAGAAAAAGCCAAUCACCAGUGCCUUCUCGUACCAAAAGGUCUGAAACCAAACUGAUGUGAGAUUGGAGAUUUGAAAAUACUACUACAAGCAGAAGGUUUUUUGCUACCGCAGGGAUCCUAACAAGAGAUGAAAAAAAGCCCACUGACAUCUGUUGAGAGCUGCUGUUUGGAGAAGUUACUGUGUUUAUCUGCUUUUGCUCAAGAACACAGCAAUCUUACGGGCUUGAUAACCGAGGGAUUCUUUCAAUACAAAUUUAAUCAUGAUUGAGAAUGUGAGAUGUGAAGAGGAACGGGGGUAAGGCUGCUCCCACAUACAAGAUUUUACAAGAUGAGAACCGUAACAGGCACUGGAUCUGCUCCAGCAGAAGGACCUGUAUGAAUACACGCAGAGUACAUACAGGAUUGUGCUUUUCCCAGAGGAAAAGAGAAUGGAAUUGCAUUCUUUUCUUUUAGGGUUUUAUUUCCUUUUUUUCCCCCACGAUCGUAAGGCCUUACAUGAUUCCCCGAGUGUUUGAACUUCUCUAUGUGGGUAAGGAGUCCCGUGGCUCCUAAAAGGGGGGGUGGGGGUGGAUAAGAGCUCCAAGAUCCUGCAGAGGAGGAGGCACCCUUCCACAGAACAGGAGCCGUAUUCCGAUGGCACCUGCUCUGCUGUCAGCCUGCCCGAGACCCCAGCCUGCCUGCCUGCCUGCCGGCCCCGGGCUGCCUGUAGCUCGGCCGCUGCCUGCGCCCGCCGCGGGGCUCCGCUCCCACGCCCGUCCCCUGCACCCGGAGCCGCCGGGCGCCCGGCAGAGCCCGGUGGGAGCCGGAGCUGCAGAGCAGCGCCCGCUCCCCCGAGACGCCCCCGCAGCCCGCCCCGGCUCCCCAGUUCGGGGCCGGGGUUUUAAGGCGCGCUGGCGAUCUCCGCCGGCGGCGGCUACAGCUAUGGACCGUCAGGACGAGGGGCAGGACACACUGGACGGGACACACGGGGACCGGACAGCGGGAAAAUAAAGGAUCCUCCUACCCUGA